This 203-nucleotide unclassified non-coding RNA is filed under the name soil metagenome. RNAcentral's name for it is "partial internal transcribed spacer 1". The record is from RNAcentral.
CCGAGUUUACAACUCCCAAACCCAAUGUGAACGUUACCAAACUGUUGCCUCGGCGGGAUCUCUGCCCCGGGUGCGUCGCAGCCCCGGACCAAGGCGCCCGCCGGAGGACCAACCAAAACUCUUAUUGUAUACCCCCUCGCGGGUUUUUUUUUUAUAAUCUGAGCCUUCUCGGCGCCUCUCGUAGGCGUUUCGAAAAUGAAUCA